AGGGGGGGGGGCGCAGUGGUACAGUCCAGGUAAACACGCCAGGAGUCUGUUUUCAGAGCACGCGCGUGGGUAAACAGGAGUUUCUGGAAGCAUUUCCGGGUAAUUUGGCGGCACAAACGCUGAGCGGCGACUUUGUGAAUUGAGAAACAAACUUGGAGAAAGAUUUAGGAACCGUCCAACCAUGCAGCUGCAGGAGAGAAGACAUGCUAGCUGCAGCGACACGGAACUCCUGAAAACUGCAGGUCAGCAUCAUCCAGACUGGGAAUUUCUCUGGUGCCACCAACAUCUGCUUUGGAUCUCUGGGUGAAACUCGACGAGGACUAAGAGAAAAUCUUCAACCGUCGGUACGUGGAAGUGACUAACGACUACUUCAAGUCAACGUGCACGACCGGAUUGAAAACGACAGAGCCACUCGUCAGAAUUAUUACUCCUAUUAAGAGGUUUGAUGUAGAGGGGUAAAAUAAAGAAUGAUCCAGUUGAAAAUGAAAA
This is a long non-coding RNA of Oryzias melastigma (Indian medaka), 489 nucleotides long. RefSeq lists it as uncharacterized. The record is from RefSeq and is a predicted model, not a curated record. The transcript is spliced from 2 exons. NCBI's taxonomy places the organism in Eukaryota, Metazoa, Chordata, Actinopteri, Beloniformes, Adrianichthyidae.